UCACAUAAUCCUCUCUUAUCAUUCCACACGUAUAGCUAUAACAUUGUAGACUAUACCUUGCCCAAACUUCAAUCAUUAUCUUUGUCAUCUUGCAACAUAAGUUAGUUCCCGUAUUUCUUAAAAUCCACUGAAAAUUUAAAUACAUUAGACCUUUCCAACAACCAAAUCAAUGGCAGUAUUCCAACGUGGUUGUUGGAGGUGAAGAUGGAUUCAUUGAGUUACCUGAAUCUUUCACUCAACUCCUUGGCAAGAAUAGGACACCUUCCAUGGAAGAACUUGCAAUUUCUUGAUCUUCAUUCUAACUUGCUUGAAGGACCACUUCCAAUACCUCCACUGUACACUUAUUUCUUUUCAGUCUCGAGGAAUAACUUAACUGGAGAGAUCCCUCUCUUGAUUUGCAAUCUCAGUUCCCUCCAAUACCUUGAUUUGUCUUAUAAUCAAUUGAGUAACAUGAUUCCUCCAUUUUUGGGAAACUUAAUUAAUCAUCUCAUAGAUUUGGAUUUGCAAAGUAACAAUCUUCAUGGUACUAUCCCUUCAACAUUUGCAAAGGGCUGUUACUUGAGAAGUCUUAAACUCAAUGGCAACCAAUUGGAAGGUUCAUUGCCACAAUCAUUGGUCCAUUGUAGAAAGUUAGAAGUUCUAGAUUUUGGUAAAAACAAGAUUAAUGGAACCUUUCCUCUUUGGUUGGAAAAUCUUCCGAAGUUGCAGGUUCUUAUCUUGCGGUCAAACAACUUUCAUGGUGCUAUAGGCAAACCCAAGCACAAAUUCCCGUUCCCUAAUUUGCGAAUCAUUGACCUCUCUCACAAUGAGUUCCAUGGUCUAUUGCCAACAAACUUUUUCAAUUAUUUAAAAGCCAUGAAGAAUUCUAAUGCAAACAAAGGUGGAUUGAAAUAUAUGGGUGAUCGAUAUUAUCAAGAUUCUGUGACAGUGGUGAUGAAAGGGAUUUUUAUUAAAUUGGUGAAAAUCCGAAGUCUAUUCACAACCAUUGAUUUCUCCAACAAUGAUUUUAAAGGAGAAAUUCCAAAGGCAAUUGGAGAGCUUCAAUUACUUAAGGGGCUUAAUUUUUCACACAAUAAUCUUACAGGUCGUAUGCCACCAUCGUUGGGAAAAUUAACCAAUCUUGAAUGGUUAGAUCUCUCCUCAAACAAGCUCAUAGGUGAAAUUCCUAUACAAUUGGCAGAUCUCACAUCACUGGCAGUUUUAAACCUAUCAGAAAACCAUCUUUCUGGACAAAUACCUCAAGGUAAACAGUUCAAUACCUUUAUGAAUGAUUCUUACAAUGGGGACCUGGGGUUAUGUGGAUUUCCAAUAACAAAAGCUUGUGGCAAUGAUGAGGGACAACAACUAUUGCCAUCAUCAACCACUCAAGAAGAUGAUUUCAAAUUUGAAAAUGGGUUUCAUUGGAAAGUUGUAUUGUUGGGGUACAGUUGUGGAUUCAUGUUUGGAUUGGAUUUGGGUUAUCUUGUGUUCUCAAGUGGGAAACCGAAAUGGCUUGUGAAUAUUGUUUAUGGUGAACAAGAUAACAAGGUACAAAGAUCCAAGAAGAAUGCUCAUGGACAAACUCAUUGAAGAAAAUUUUGGUGGAUGCAAAUACUGAUUCUAGGCUUGUGGCCCUUUCUAUCCAGUAUUAACAGGAUGGAGGGACAACAUUCAUUCAUAUUUAACGAAGCACUGGCCGGCAUUUCACGACCAAAUGAUAAUAUAACACAAACACUUCGCCUUUUUGCCCUUAGUGGUAUUGAUGAAAGAUAAACAGUUAGUCUUCUAGGUACUACUAUCUCUCUGCUCUUUCUUAUUUCCCCCCUUAUUUUAUGGAAUUGAAAAAGGUUUAAAAGUUAUUUGGUUUGUAUCAGUUUCUUAAUCAUCUGAAGGUGCACGCGACAUUGGGAAGAUUAGCUGUGAAUUCAUACGGAAAUGCCUCCCUUACCUCAAUGGAACAGGGUAGCCAAACCCAACUAUAGCUCCUGAUUUUCUCAUUGAGACGAGAAUGAGAUGCCAAGACAGUAAUAGGACCACCACUCAGCCUUCUUCACCCAUGGAAUCACUGGAAAUGAGUGAGUCUGCAGUGGGGAUGUCAUAUUUGCAAGAAUUGUCAUCUUCGAUAUCAUCUGGGGCAGGUUUUGACACUCACGACUAUCAGAACUUGUUAAAGGGGAGAGGGUACCUUUUUGCCGAUCAGAAAUUGAUAGCUAAUGAGAAGACCGCGAGAUUGGCAAGGGUUUAUGCUUCAGAUGAUGGAUCAAUCUUUCAAAUGGACUUUGCUUGGGCAAUGAUGAAGAUGUCAGGUCUUAAUGUUCUGACUAGAUCUCAAGGUUAGGUCCGAAGAAACUGCUCCUUGGCUUUGGUCAAUUCCUAAGUGACAGUCUAACCAUAAUGAACUCUUGAGAUCUUUUUUCUUUCAUGAACCCAUAAUGGGUGUAAGAGCGAAUCUCAGAAUCAGAGUGAAACCAGUGCACUUUGGAGACCCAAUUCAGAGCUUGUUGAUGGGUUUUUCCUCUCCAGAAAGUUAAAACAAAUUUAAGAGAGAGCAUCUCAAAAAUACUGCGGGAAAAGCUUGUUCCAAUCUUUGAUGAAUUUUAAAGGCCUCACAGUGAUUGAAAUAUUUGUUAAUUCCUAGCAAGGUGAUGACUGUUCUCUCUGCUCUCGUUUGCUGGGCUACUCCUAAUCUGAUCUCUCAUAAAUGGGCAAAUCACAUAACAACAUUGUUGUUCUUCGUGUUCGGGUUAUGGUCUUUAUGGGAUGGAAUUAAAGAUGACGGGCAAUGUUUAUUUCUUUCAUUCAUUCACUUCUUUUCUGCAUCUUGCACAUCAGUUCUCAUCUAAAAGAUAUGUCCUCUGAGUCUAUUCCUGGUUCACCCUAUAGAGAUGAUGAUGAGUUUGCUGAAGUUGAAGCAAAACUGGAUGCUGAAUUGAACUCUGACAAAAGAACUACCAAAAAGAAAAGUAAGGCCAAGUCAGCUUAUGGAUUUGAGAUUGUUCAAAUGGUCAUUGUGGACACUGAACCUGAUGAACAUGUGAAGAGGACUAUGAGUGAGAUAAAUGCUGGUAAGUGUUCAUUUUGAAUUGAACAUUGUUUCUCCUCUCUCUCUGACUGCAAGAAUGAAGGUGGUGGCUAACGAGAAGGCUGAAGCAGAAAAAAUUCUGCAAAAAAAACGUGCCAAGGGAAACUGAGCAUGGUAAGCAUGCCAGCAUCAGACCAUUGAAGUUGGACUGAUGGACAGUGUGCUUGCGUUCUCUGUGAAUGUACCUGGAACUACGUCAAAGGAUGUCAUGGACAUGGUUCUGGUGACUUAAUAUUUAGACAAAAUGAAAGAAAUUGGUGCAUUGUCAUCACACAUGGACCAGGUGCUGUGAAAGACAUUGCUUCACAGAUUAGAGAUGGCCUCCUUCAAGCAAAUACCACUCAGAAUUAGUGACUUUGUCCCAACAUAUAUGUUGCACGAGUGGCUUUUUUAAUGGUGUAUGAAAUCAUUGGUGCUAGUAUCUAAGAGUUGUGUCUUUUAUUCUUCUUUUCUACUUUCCAAAUUAUUUACUUGAGUGAAGAUAGGAGCUAGGGAUUGUCUUGCAAGUUGCAACUAAGUGGUGUGGUGUUUAUACAUGGUGUUGAACUUGGCCAUGGUAUUGGCAAUAUUCUUUUAUAGGAUGAGAUGGUACUGAUUUGGGUAAUUUUGUGGAAUCCUCUGGUGUUAUAUGCUAUUUUGUAACUGUUGUCUGCA
Quercus robur (English oak) is the source of this 3715-nucleotide RNA transcript. It is a transcript of the gene named hypersensitive-induced response protein 1-like, with no coding region annotated. The record is from RefSeq and is a predicted model, not a curated record. NCBI's taxonomy places the organism in Eukaryota, Viridiplantae, Streptophyta, Magnoliopsida, Fagales, Fagaceae. The transcript has 8 exons.